Long non-coding RNA from Paramisgurnus dabryanus, 1788 nucleotides. RefSeq lists it as uncharacterized. Lineage: Eukaryota; Metazoa; Chordata; Actinopteri; Cypriniformes; Cobitidae. The record is from RefSeq and is a predicted model, not a curated record.
UUAGCAUGCAUCAACUUUCUUUAGGCUGUGUCGUGCUGGAGGUGUAAUCGGAGGAGCUGGAGACGCAGCGCUGGUUGGAUUUUUGGUGCUAUCAUGGCUGCGGAAGGUAAGAAGCAUGCUUCGGGUCUUGGAUGGCCUCAGCCAACGGUUUGGCGUGUAUGGUUAUACCAGUGGGACUUUGAUGGCCUUAGCCAAUGGGUAGGUGGUUAUGGUGUUUCGACAAAUGGAACGAUGGGCAGUAAGCAUUAACAGUGGCAAUAGGGCUCUGACAGCCUUAGCCAAUGGGUUGACUUGAAUGUUCGUGCACUAAUGGUUGUGUUGUUAUGCCAUACGAAACCGGGGGCCACUGAACCUGCAUUAACGACGACAGUGGGGGCUCAUUGACAGCCUUAGCCAACGGGUUGGUGCGUAUGGUCGUGUUGUUUUGUUGUCUUGCGUUGUGUUGUCAUGCCAUACAAAACCGGGGGCCACUGAACCUGCAUUAACGACGACAGUGGGGGCUCAUUGACAGCCUUAGCCAACGGGUUGUUGCGUAUGGUCGUGUUGUUUUGUUGUCUUGCGUUGUGUUGUCAUGGCAUACAAAACCAGGGGCCACUGAACCUGCAUUAACGACGACAGUGGGGGCUCACUGACAGCCUUAGCCAACGGGUUGGUGUGUAUGGUCAUGUUGCAAUGAGAUUUUGGCAUCUAUGGUCAUUUAACAGUGUUAUGGCAGUGAGCUACAAAGCAGGUACAGCAGCAGGAAGGAUGAAGGAGUAAUGUGGCAGCUCGAGGGAGGACACUAGGAAGUAAAGGCGGCGGCAGCAGCAUACAGGAUGCAGUGAGGAUUAGUGUGGCAACUCCAGGGAGGACACAGACAGUGAGAGCAACAGCGGCAUUGCAGGAAGAAUUUUGAGACGAUAGCAGCCCUGUCCAACAAUGGAUAUGAGUGUGCAAUAUACCAUCUAAAGCUAAGUGUUUUAAGAACUUUCUUCAGUCACUGUACUACUGCACAUUGUAACUACUUUUGGAGGAAUGUUUUAUUCUAAUUCUGAUUCUGAUGUUUUUCAGGAACUGCCAGGUCAGAAUGUCUGAGAAGAUCAAGUGUGCUACAACACCCAUGAUGACAAGCAGGAUACAUUGGAAAGCUGGAUUUCUUUUAAUAAUGUGACCAAACCCAUUUGGCAUUGAGGACAAUACUGAAGACUAAAGAAGCAAAGGAAGGAGCAGUCUCAGAAGAAAGAGUGGCUGAAGGACGAAGGAGUAAUGUGGCAGCUCGAGGGAGGACACUAGGAAGUAAAGGCGACGGCAGCAGCAUACAGGAUGCAGUGAGGAUUAGUGUGGCAACUCCAGGGAGGACACAGACAGUGAGAGUAACAGCGGCAGAACCGCCAGGUCAGAAUGUCUGAGAAGAUCAAGUGUGCUACAACACCGAUAAUGACAAGCAGGAUACAUUGGAAAGCUGGAUUUCUUUUAAUAAUGUGACCAAACCCAUUUGGCAUGUAGGACAAUACUGAAGACUAAAGAAGCAAAUUAAGAACCACAUUGAAGCAGUAGAGGGUGUCCAGCCUGUAUGCAAUGUCAGAUCCAGCGGCUAGAUGUCGGGAGCUGCUUCACUACAACGCUCAUUGCAUUAAUUAAUUUCAUUUACUUAAUAUUUAGUUUUAUCAUAUUAAAUAAUUGGUUUCUAUGUAUAGAUAUAUAGAUAUUAAAAUAUAAAAUAUUAGUUUAACAUAAUAAUUGGUUUCAAUAUAUAGAUAUAUAGAUAUUAAAAUAUAAAAUAUUAGUUUAAUAUAAUAAUUAGUUUCA